RNAcentral lists this ribosomal RNA (497 nucleotides) under uncultured bacterium. Its description in RNAcentral is "partial 16S ribosomal RNA". It matches the Rfam family "Bacterial small subunit ribosomal RNA", at positions 28 to 507 of the family's 1533-position model. The record is from RNAcentral.
GAUGAACGCUGGCGGCGUGCCUAAUACAUGCAAGUCGAGCGAACGGACGAGAAGAUUGCUUUUCUGAUGUUAGCGGCGGACGGGUGAGUAACACGUGGAUAACCUACCUAUAAGACUGGGAUAACUUCGGGAAACCGGAGCUAAUACCGGAUAAUAUUUUGAACCGCAUGGUUUAAAAGUGAAAGACGGUCUUGCUGUCACUUAUAGAUGGAUCCGCGCUGCAUUAGCUAGUUGGUAAGGUAACGGCUUACCAAGGCAACGAUGCAUAGCCGACCUGAGAGGGUGAUCGGCCACACUGGAACUGAGACACGGUCCAGACUCCUACGGGAGGCAGCAGUAGGGAAUCUUCCGCAAUGGGCGAAAGCCUGACGGAGCAACGCCGCGUGAGUGAUGAAGGUCUUCGGAUCGUAAAACUCUGUUAUUAGGGAAGAACAUAUGUGUAAGUAACUGUGCACAUCUUGACGGUACCUAAUCAGAAAGCCACGGCUAACCACGUG